AGUGAACGCUGGCGGUAGGCCUAACACAUGCAAGUCGAACGGCAGCACAGUAAGAGCUUGCUCUUACGGGUGGCGAGUGGCGGACGGGUGAGGAAUACAUCGGAAUCUACUUUUUCGUGGGGGAUAACGUAGGGAAACUUACGCUAAUACCGCAUACGACCUACGGGUGAAAGCAGGGGAUCUUCGGACCUUGCGCGAUUGAAUGAGCCGAUGUCGGAUUUGCUAGUUGGCGGGGUAAAGGCCCACCAAGGCGACGAUCCGUAGCUGGUCUGAGAGGAGGAUCGGCCACACUGGAACUGAGACACGGUCCAGACUCCUACGGGAGGCAGCAGUGGGGAAUAUUGGACAAUGGGCGCAAGCCUGAUCCAGCCAGACCGCGUGGGUGAAGAAGGCCUUCGGGUUGUAAAGCCCUUUUGUUGGGAAAGAAAAGCAGCAGGUUAAUACCCCGCUGUUCUGACGGUACCCAAAGAAUAAGCACCGGCUAACUUCGUG
This 492-nucleotide ribosomal RNA is filed under the name uncultured bacterium. Its description in RNAcentral is "partial 16S ribosomal RNA". It matches the Rfam family "Bacterial small subunit ribosomal RNA", at positions 29 to 507 of the family's 1533-position model. The record is from RNAcentral.